GCUGCUUUGAGGUAUGGGUUAAUCAGGAGCUGGUCCACUCCAAGAGACAAACUGGGAAGUUUCCUGAUCCUCAACAGGUGAAGGCGGCAGUGAUGAGGGCGAGUUCAGGAGGGGCAGGAGGGGGCUGCUAUACCGUGCAGAGGACAUCGUCCGGGGAUGACGAUAGUGGUCCAUCAGGAAUCUGGUGACUCAGACAAGCAAACGCUCUUUUAGAUCAAGGAGAAUAAUAUAAGAACUAAAUUCACAGAUCAAGAGUGUUUUGUUUCCUGAAGAUCCAAAUACAUCCUGGUGUAUUCACUAACAAAGCAUUAAAAAAAAAUCAAAUUUUUUUAAUGCAAUGAAACAAUGUUAAAGCAAUUAACGUUGAACAAAAUCCAAUCCCUCAGUAACGACCUUUAGCCAUGAAAACAGGCCACACACUCAAAUUAAAAACAGACAAUGACAGAAAAUGAUGAGAGCAACUCUGGAGGAUCCAGGGCACUGAUCUGCACAACUGUUUAUGAAUGUACACGCUUAAAAAGAUGUAGUGUGUACAUGAUGGAAGCCCAAAAGUUUUGCAACAAACUGGAGCCUGAGGAACUGCUCUCAUUAUGUCAGUCUGACAUAUACUCAUAAAUCAAUGUCUGUAACGCUGCACUCACUCAGGAGUUAAAAAUCUUACAUAUCUCUUGUGUAACUCUUUAUAAAGAGAUUUAAGGACAUACUCUUCCUCACUGUUCUGCCAAGUGUUAUCAUGAAUAAAAAGAGCAUACAACAGAGCAUCAUACAACGCUAGCACUGAUAAGUCUGUUUGUGAAUAAACAGUUAGAAUUGUUAGCUUAGAGCUUCUCUAAUAUUGACUUGUGAACAUGGUACAAAAUCUGGAUGUAAACACAAAUUUCAACAGGGGUUUUUGAGUGGAUUUUCUUGGCUGGGACAUCCUAGAGGCUCCACAAGUCCUGGCAAUCCCUAGUCACAGAGUCAUGCUAAUAACCCCUGAAAAAUGGCAUCCCUCAUCUUGAAGUGUGAAUUUUAUACAAAUAUCAACACAAAAAUAUCAAACAUGUUAAUUUGUGAACUUUGGAGGUGCUAGAUGUCACUUUUUCAACACUGAGAGAAAGCCAGUCUAGCUAGUUCAAGUCUUCAUGCUAGCUCAUGCAUAAUUAGGAAACACAAGCUUGAUGUUAAACUUUUAUCAAGCUCAAAGGCAAGAAAGUGAAAAAAGGGUAUUUCCAAAAGCUGUCUCAUUAAGCUUGUAAUCUUUUAGGGUCCACUUUCCUCUCUGACCUGGAGAAAAACACUGAGUCUUUGAACAUAGAAAUUCUGUAGACACCUUACAUGACCUUAGGUGUGCAUUCCCUGACAGAUGACAGCUUCUCAUGUCUGUUCCUUUUAUAACCUUAUAUACAUUAACACUGACUCAAACUUCUUUAACAUGUCAGAUCUAUUCUUUUUUUUUUAAAUCUGCCAUAUAUUCCCUACUUUGCAAUAUCUACCCGAACUCUGAUGUGGAUUUUAUUUUAAGUGCUAAAUAAUGCGUAUGUGCUCUUAUCUUUUGUACUAUUCUCACGUUUUAGCAGUUAAAAUAAACAAUGAAAAUUUUAGAUUU
Notolabrus celidotus (New Zealand spotty) is the source of this 1588-nucleotide long non-coding RNA. RefSeq lists it as uncharacterized. The transcript has 2 exons. Lineage: Eukaryota; Metazoa; Chordata; Actinopteri; Labriformes; Labridae. The record is from RefSeq and is a predicted model, not a curated record.